CAGCAGCCGCCGCGGGAAUACGAAGGGGGCUAGCGUUGCUCGGAAUGACUGGGCGUAAAGGGCGCGUAGGCGGCGAUCAAAGUCAGGCGUGAAAUUCCUGGGCUCAACCUGGGGGCUGCGCUUGAUACUUGGUUGCUUGAGUGGGGAAGAGGGUCGUGGAAUUCCCAGUGUAGAGGUGAAAUUCGUAGAUAUUGGGAAGAACACCGGUGGCGAAGGCGGCGACCUGGUCCUUGACUGACGCUGAGGCGCGAAAGCGUGGGGAGCAAACAGGAUUAGAUACCCCCGUAGUCCCUGUCUCUUAUAA
This 304-nucleotide ribosomal RNA is filed under the name uncultured bacterium. RNAcentral describes it as "partial 16S ribosomal RNA". It matches the Rfam family "Bacterial small subunit ribosomal RNA", at positions 506 to 809 of the family's 1533-position model. The record is from RNAcentral.